Molecule: ribosomal RNA, 508 nt
Filed under: uncultured Streptococcus sp.
Lineage: Bacteria; Bacillati; Bacillota; Bacilli; Lactobacillales; Streptococcaceae
Description: bacterial SSU rRNA
Rfam family: Bacterial small subunit ribosomal RNA
Source: RNAcentral
CGAACGACUGCGGCGUGCCUAUACAUAGCAAGUAGAACGCACAGUUUAUUACCGUAGCUUGCUACACCAUAGACUAGUGAGUUGCGAACGGGUGAGUAACGGCGUAGGUAACCUGCCUGGUAGCGGGGGAGUAACUAUUGGAAACGAUAGCUAAUACGCAUAAUAUUAAUUAUUGCAUGAUAAUUAAAUUGAAAGGUAGCAAUUGCACCACUACCAGAUGGACCUGCGUUGUAUUAGCUAGUAGGUGAGGUAACGGCUCACCUAGGCGACGAUACAUAGCCGACCUGAGAGGGUGAUCGGCCACACUGGGACUGAGACACGGCCCAGACUCCUACGGGAGGCAGCAGUAGGGAAUCUUCGGCAAUGGACGAAAGUCUGACCGAGCAACGCCGCGUGAGUGAAGAAGGUUUUCGGAUCGUAAAGCUCUGUUGUAAGAGAAGAACGGGUGUGAGAGUGGAAAAUUCACACUGUGACGGUAUCUUACCAGAAAGGGACGGCUAACUACGUG